This 4729-nucleotide long non-coding RNA is filed under the name Homo sapiens (human). RNAcentral's name for it is "HSALNT0366254". The record is from RNAcentral. Lineage: Eukaryota; Metazoa; Chordata; Mammalia; Primates; Hominidae.
GCCGCCAGGAGGCCGCGGACGCGUGCUCGCAUGCCUGUGGUAUUUGCUCAGAGGGGCAUGACCACUUCGGGCAAGCCUUUAAAUUAGAGACGGAGUUUCAACCAUGUUAGCCAAGAUGUUCUCGAUCUCCUGACCUCGUGAUCCUCCCGCCUCGGCCUCUCAAAGUGCUGGGAUUACAGACUUGAUGCAAGGGGAUGUGUGCUUUACGGGAAACUGUCAGCGCUGCAGUCGGCAUCAGAGACGUGCUGCUAAAGAGAACACUACCAGCAUUUAGGAGAAGGGACUUGGAAUGAUGGACAGGACCGUACCCCUUCUCUCAUUAUCACAAGCCAAAGCAAAUGAUGUAUAUCUGUGAGGUCUAACAACGUCCCUAAGCCUUAUCCUUUUAGGAUCCCAGUCAUCCAGCGCACUGUAUUGUUGCAGCUAGGAGUUUAAGACAUAGAGUCAGACAGACAUGUGUUUGAAUUUCAGCUCCACCGCUGACUAGCUAAGCAAGCUUGAGCAAGUUACCAUUUCUUCUAAGUUCCUUCAGUUUUUUUUUUUUGAGAUGGAGUUUCACUCUGUCACCCAGGCUGGAGUGCAAUGGUGUGAUCUCGGCGCACUGCAACCUCCACCCCCUGGGUUCAAGCGAUUCUUCUGCCUCAGCCUCCCAAGUAGCUGGGAUUAUAGGCAUCUGCCACCACACCCUGCUAUUUUUUUGUAUUUUUAGUAGAGAUAGGAUUUCACCGUGUUAGCCAGGAUGGUCUCGAUCUCCUGACCUCGUGACCCGCCCUCCUCGGCCUCCCAAAAUGCUGGGAUUACAGGCAUGAGCCACCUCACCUUGUCCUCAUUCCUUCAUUUUCAAAAUGGGGCUAUGUUAUUUGCCACAGAGAGUUUCUGUGAUGAUUGUUAAAAUGCACAUAAAAUACCUACCACAUAAUUCAUUCUCAAAAAAUUCUAGAAAUAUUACGUAAUGACCCAGGAGACAGAAGAUCUGGCGUCACUUCCCAUCUGUGUGAGCCAGGACAAGUUAAUUUACCUGUCAGUGCCUCAGUUUCCUCAUCAAUAAAAUAUGGGUUAAAUGUCCACCUCGUUACGUAAACUAAAGACAAUGAGUAUAAAAACUAUGACAUACACUAAGAAGAUACUACAUGAUGGUGAUAGUUUUUGUGUUUACUUCCCAGACUCCAGUUUUAUCCCUGCGUCAGCUAUGUGAUCCUUCACAGGUCACUUAUUUUUCAAAGACCUCAGUUUAGUUUCCCCAUUAUAAAAUAAAAGUGGAGUUAGACAUCUAUUGUCCAUUCCAACUGUAUGAUUUUAUGAACUUUCUAUUUUUGUGAUUUUUCUGUAUUUCAAAAAUACCUACUAGAAUAGAGAACAAGGUUUCCAAAGGCCUCCCCUCCCCCGGGAUACAGAAGCCUCUGUUCCUUGAUUACCCUUUUGCUGACCUACUCUUAGCCCAUAAACCCAUCGAGCUCACACUGACUUAGACAAAGAGCAGAGACCCCCAGGAAGAAGAAAGUGUCCCUGCAUUUGGUGAGCCUACAGUGUAGUUGAAAACAAAGGAUGGAUAGAUAUGCAAGAAUAAGACUGAUACGCAAAGCAAAUCCCAAUAAGUUAACAUUAACAUGGUGAUUACCUAGAAUCAGAGUUAAGAGCAUGAGCUCUGGAGUCAGACCAGUGACAGGUCAGGUCCUAGCUCCACCACCUGCAACAGUUUCACCUUGGACAAAAAACCCCUUACCACUGCCUGAGUCUUGAUUUCUUCCUCUGUAUGAGGCUUUAAAAAAUGCAGUAGCUCUUGUGAGGAUUAAAUCAGAUGAUCCAUGCAAGAUGCUUAGCCCAGUGGCUGGCAUAUCGUGAGUCCUCACAGUAUUGGUUAUUACUGUUAUUAAUACUGCUAUUACUAUUGUCAUGGUUAUCUCAGAAAACCUCACAGAAGAGAUAUGUAAAAGCCAGAUUUUGAAGAGGGGCUAGAGAGUUUUGUGAUGGGAGGGUGGUUCUUGGAAACAGUCAGUGGAAAGCAGUAUGUCCAUAUGGAUCUCUUGUGGAGGAACCCAACAUCUGUGGAUUUUCAAAGCUUUCCACGUAAUUCUGACCCGCAGCCAGGGCUGAUAUGAGAACAAGGCAGUCACAGGCAUGAUUCAUUAAGUGUGGACCACUAGACAAAAAUUGAGAUUUCUGACUUGAGGCAUGGGCUCUGCUCCUAGCUAGGCGCCUGGCCAUGGCAAUUACUUCAUCUCACUGGAUUUUAGUUCCUUAAUUUGCUAAUCAAGGAGAAUUGACAUACCCUAAGUGAUCUCCAAGUCUCCUCUCAGCUCUCAGGUCCAAGGAUCUUAAACAGCUUUCCUUAACUGAGUAAGAAUCCAUGUUCAGGAGUCCAUUCCAGUUCAUCUCCCGCAUGAUUUCCUCCAGCCAACAGGACCCGGAGCCAGCCCUCUGGGUCUUCCCAGCACCCCACCCCCAGGUCUCUGUGUGUCUUACACAAGUCGACUCCCCAGUCUGACCUGGCCUCACCUGGCACCAUAGAAAGAGGCCAAAUUGAAAUGCACUAUGUAGGGACUCAGGCGGCAGUCCACAGCCUGGCCUACUGGGCCACUUGGAACUUUGUAACCGUGUAACUUGGAGCUCCUGAUAAUAAUAACCGCUAGCAUUUCUUGAGCAUUUAUAACAUGUGAGGCACUGUACUAAGAGCUUGAAGUCUAUUUAAUCUGCUUUAAUCCUUAAAACAGUGCUGUGACAUCAGCAUGGUGAGUCCCAUUUUAGAGCUGUAGAUGUAGAAUCUGAGGCUUGAAGACAUUAAAUAACUUCCCCAAGAUCACACAACUGGUGUGCGGUGCGGGUGGGCCCACACCCCUGUCUGCUGAGCUGCAGCACCAAGGCUUCCCUCUAUUGUACCACAUUACCUCCCACAAUCUGCAAUUCACAGUAAUUUUUGGGGACCAAUGAGUGAUCACACAAGAAGGGUACAGGCUUGAGCCCUUAUGUGUAAGGCACUGCAUUUGUUAUGUUAGGUCAAAAGUGGUCUCUUGAAACCAUUUACUCCUUCACCCACCAUUAGGAACUCUCCUCCACCUGCCCUCAGCUUACCUAUCCAAUCUCAUCACCCUGUGACCAUCUGCGGUCAGGCCACCCACUGUGGAGACUGCCUUGCUGAGUGAUUAAGGGCACAGCCGGUAGUGUGGUGCUGCAUUGUCCAAUUUGGUAACCACUGGCUGCAUGUGGCUACUGAGCACUUAAAGUGUGGCUAGUCUGAAUUGGGAUGUGCUGUAAGUAUAAAACACACCGGAUUUCAAAGAAUGAAUGAAAUACCUAUUUUGGAAAUACUGGGUUAAGUAAAAUAUUAAAAUCAAUUUUAAUUGUUUUUACUUUUUAUUUUUUAAUGUGGCUACUAGAAUAUUUAAAAUUACACAUGUGGCUGGCAUUUGUAGCUCACAUAAUAUUUCUGUUGGACAGACUGGUCUGGAGUGAGACCACCUGCGUUUGAAUCUCAGCUGUCACUUACUAUCUGUGCAAGUUAAUUCAUCUCUAUGUACCUCAAUUUUCCCAUCUGUAAAAUAGGGGUGAUAGUAAUAACCUACUUUGUAAGGUUGUUGUAAGCAUUUAAUGACUUAAAUUUACCAAACAGUCCCUGGCUCAUUUGUUUGCUACUUAUUGCUCACUGAUGCCAGAACAGGCCAGGUUCUUUUCCUGCCUGUGCUGUGCUGGUUUUUUUUUUCUCUUGGAAGGCUUUCUGCUUCCUCGCCGCCUCCUUGGGUUCUGUGUCUUCCAAAACAGCAUGGCUUGUUAGAACUCCUGCCACUUUCUUUACGUAAACAUUAACUUCUUGCCUUCUAGUCAUCAUUUCAGCAUGCACACCUGAACUGUAGUUUGAAGUAGACUGAAAUCAGGGCUUGUGUCUACUGUGUCUUAUUUAUCUAUCUGUCUUCCUAUCAUGCCCUCUAUAGAUCUAAUGCAGUGCCUCGCACAAGGUGGCGUUGCAUAAAUGCUUGUAUAUUAACUGAUUAAUGUGCCUCCCACCCUCAUGCUGGGAAGUGAGGAUUUUCCACAUUCUUUCAGAGUCCGUAGAAGGAACAGUCACCUUUCCUCUGGUCAUUCUUGAGUCCCCGUCAUCUCCAGGUGAUUCUCUUCAGUGUAGCACAACUCCGUCUCUUUAAUUCCUAUUGCCCUCCAUUUCUCAUGCUUUCAGAAUGGGUGAUGCCUCUCCCUCCAACCCAGCACGUGAGUGUUGAGAUCAGCUAUAAUUUUGAGGCCUUAAAAGAAAUGCCCUGGGUUCAUUAAAUUCUAAUUGCAUUGAUGGUGAGGAAAGAUAGUUGCUUUAAUUAAGAAAGACCUCCCUUGGCCAAUGCUGUGGUUGUGGUGGUGGUAGUGGAGAGUGCUGUUGCUGCUGCUGUGACAAAUGCUGAUUAUUUAUGUGGUUUUCAGGGGAGUUCAGAAGCAUCAGUUCACACCCACAGGCAGCCCAGUCUUUGUGUCUACCAAACAUCUACAGUCUGUCAUUACUUUCCUUGGGAACUUACCCAAGAGGGGAAACUUUUACCAGCUUUGGAUCCUACUCAAAGUUCAGGGCACAUGUCUUCCAGGAAAAUAAAAUCCCCCCAAAUAACAUACCUCUGAAGGGAUUAAUUCUGGUUCUAAUUUCUCUUUAACAGUCUGUUUCUCAACAGACCAGGGCAGAGACCCCUUCUAAGACUGAUAUUGAGAUUAUUCCAUAAAUAGCCCUUUCUUUUGAAUUAAACAUGGUCUGCCA